This 560-nucleotide ribosomal RNA is filed under the name uncultured bacterium. Its description in RNAcentral is "bacterial SSU rRNA". It matches the Rfam family "Bacterial small subunit ribosomal RNA", at positions 338 to 916 of the family's 1533-position model. The record is from RNAcentral.
CCUACGGGAGGCAGCAGUGGGGAAUCUUGCGCAAUGGGCGAAAGCCUGACGCAGCCAUGCCGCGUGAAUGAUGAAGGUCUUAGGAUUGUAAAAUUCUUUCACCGGGGACGAUAAUGACGGUACCCGGAGAAGAAGCCCCGGCUAACUUCGUGCCAGCAGCCGCGGUAAUACGAAGGGGGCUAGCGUUGCUCGGAAUUACUGGGCGUAAAGGGAGCGUAGGCGGAUAGUUUAGUCAGAGGUGAAAGCCCAGGGCUCAACCUUGGAAUUGCCCUUGAUACUGGCUAUCUUGAGUACGGAAGAGGUAUGUGGAACUCCGAGUGUAGAGGUGAAAUUCGUAGAUAUUCGGAAGAACACCAGUGGCGAAGGCGACAUACUGGUCCGUUACUGACGCUGAGGCUCGAAAGCGUGGGGAGCAAACAGGAUUAGAUACCCUGGUAGUCCACGCUGUAAACGAUGAGUGCUAGUUGUCGGCAUGCAUGCAUGUCGGUGACGCAGCUAACGCAUUAAGCACUCCGCCUGGGGAGUACGGUCGCAAGAUUAAAACUUAAAUGAAUUGACGG